This 854-nucleotide ribosomal RNA is filed under the name uncultured Neocallimastigales. RNAcentral's name for it is "partial large subunit ribosomal RNA". It matches the Rfam family "Eukaryotic large subunit ribosomal RNA", at positions 1 to 642 of the family's 3401-position model. Lineage: Eukaryota; Fungi; Neocallimastigomycota; Neocallimastigomycetes; Neocallimastigales. The record is from RNAcentral.
CGAGCACGCGCGUGUGGCAUAUCAAUAAGCGGAGGAAAGAGGGUACCUACGCUUAGGAUGUUGAAGAUGUAGCACAUCAUACACGCAUGACACACUGCAUAUCAAUAAGCGGAGGAAAAGAAACUAACAUAGGAUUCCCUCGUAACGGCGAGUGAAGCGGGAAGAGCUCAAAUUUGAAAUCUUCAAGGUUCUACCUUGACGAAUUGUAGUUUAAAGAAGUGUUUUCUGUUGAGGUUUUGGUAAAAGUUCUUUGGAAUAGGACAUCAUAGAGGGUGAGAAUCCCGUAUUUGACCUUUACUUUCAACUUUGUGAUACACUUUCAAAGAGUCGGAUUGUUUGGGAAUGCAGUCCAAAAUGGGUGGUAAAUUUCAUCUAAAGCUAAAUAUUGGCGAGAGACCGAUAGCGAACAAGUACCGUGAGGGAAAGAUGAAAAGAACUUUGAAAAGAGAGUUAAACAGUACGUGAAAUUGUCAAAAGGGAAGCGUUUGACACCAGUGUUGUUUUUCCGAAAAUCAAUUAGCGAAUGUUUUAUUUUUGAGAAGUUAUGACUUCAUCGGCUUGCUUCUCUCUUUACGAAACUUUCUUAUGCACUUUUCGGUUAACAAGUCAACAUCAAUUUCUUUUGUUGUAAAAGGGUACGAGGAAGGUGGCUUUCUUUUCGGAGAAAGUGUUUAUAGCCUUGUACCUCUGCAAUCGGAGAGAUUGAGGUCUGCAGCGUAGAUCCUUCGGGGUUAGAUACAUUUGUGCUAAGUUAUAGCUUUUCAUAGACAACUUGUUGACUAUGUUUAGUCUUGUAGCUUACUCGCUGACGCUAUUUUACCUACGCUUAGGAUGUUGAAGAUGUAGCACAUCAU